CUAUUAAUAGUUCUACUUCUAAAGCCUUUAUUUUCUAAUUUUUAUACACACAAUCAGAUUCUAAUAAACCAUUAGACAGAGUUUUUACUACUAACACUUCCCCUAAGGUUCAGUCCUAAUAUCUAAUUUUUAAGCAAAUGAACAAAAAACGAAAGAAUGGCUAACACUUUUAUCAAUAAGAGCUCUGGCAGAAAUAUCAUAGAUAAAAAGUAUACC
Molecule: long non-coding RNA, 216 nt
Filed under: Carica papaya (papaya)
Lineage: Eukaryota; Viridiplantae; Streptophyta; Magnoliopsida; Brassicales; Caricaceae
Description: long non-coding RNA (CPAP_LNC009044)
Source: RNAcentral